UCAAUGCUGCUGCUGGGCAGAGCAAAGAGGAGCAGCUUUGUUGAAAUGCCUUUGGGGCAUGAAAACCCCAAAGUCCUCCUGCUGAAGACACAUCACAACUGCCAGGCCAUAUGGGAUUCCUUUGGAAUUGCAGAACCCAUUCCCCACCAAGGCAUCCAGGCAGCCAAGAAUUGUCCUGCAGGCUCCUGGCUGGAACUGGGGCAGUUCAAAUUUUGACACUGAUGAUUUUUUUCCUCUGUCCUCUUAGAGAUAAAACAGAGGUGGACAUGCACUGGAACCAGCACAACAGUAAGUGUGUGUCUCUAUCCAGAGUCUAAAGCAACCACUUUAUAGCCAAAGAAGUCAAAGCUAUUCUGGAGAAAGAAAGAUGCUCAGCACGCUGAUAUUUAUUAACCAUUAUUCUUUAUUAGACCUCACAGAGGUGUAAACUAUACAUACAAAUACAUUAGAAAGAUACCCUCUUACAGUAAUGUUUCACAUUUUGGACUGGAUCUAAAGAGGGUUGCAAACAUUUCAGUACAUUCUACCAACCAAAGGUUGCCGUAGUCUUUUAUUUUAUUAUACAGUGUGACCAAGCCCUUUUUACUGCAAUCAAUGAGAUUCAGAAAACAAACAAUGAAAAUCAGACAGCUAGCUCUUCAGAUCUUUUGAACCUAUCAUGAUAAAUGCAUAUAAAGAGCCUUUUGAAAAACAUGAAUACACUAUUUGGUUAUGGAACAAUGUUUAUCAGGUUAGACAGUUUGUACAGAGUGGGGGACAUGAUUAAAUGGUUCUGAGGGACCUGUGCAAUAGCAAGAUCAGAGUUUAUUUUUGUAAGCAAUAAAAUCUUCAUUGCUUGGCCUUCCUGCAUGUCUGUGGAAAGCUUACCAGUACUAAAUGGAGAGAAUGGAACAAGUUGGCGUUGUUGAAGUAUUUGGUGUGGGCAUGGG
This is a long non-coding RNA of Rhineura floridana, 929 nucleotides long. RefSeq lists it as uncharacterized. The transcript is spliced from 3 exons. The record is from RefSeq and is a predicted model, not a curated record. Lineage: Eukaryota; Metazoa; Chordata; Lepidosauria; Squamata; Rhineuridae.